This 433-nucleotide ribosomal RNA is filed under the name uncultured bacterium. RNAcentral's name for it is "partial 16S ribosomal RNA". It matches the Rfam family "Bacterial small subunit ribosomal RNA", at positions 29 to 507 of the family's 1533-position model. The record is from RNAcentral.
AACGAACGCUGGCGGCAUGCCUAACACAUGCAAGUCGAACGAGACCUUCGGGUCUAGUGGCGCACAGGUGCGUAACGCGUGGGAACCUGCCCUUAGGUUCGGAAUAACUCCCCGAAAGGGGUGCUAAUACCGGAUAAUGUCUUCGGACCAAAGAUUUAUCGCCUUUGGAUGGGCCCGCGUUGGAUUAGCUAGUUGGUAGGGUAAAAGCCUACCAAGGCGACGAUCCAUAGCUGGUCUGAGAGGAUGAUCAGCCACACUGGGACUGAGACACGGCCCAGACUCCUACGGGAGGCAGCAGUGGGGAAUAUUGGACAAUGGGCGAAAGCCUGAUCCGGCAAUGCCGCGUGAGUGAUGAAGGCCUUAGGGUUGUAAAGCUCUUUUACCCGGGAUGAUAAUGACAGUACCGGGAGAAUAAGCUCCGGCUAACUCCGUG